CCUACGGGAGGCUGCAGUGAGGAAUAUUGGUCAAUGGACGGAAGUCUGAACCAGCCAAGUAGCGUGCAGGAUGACGGCCCUAUGGGUUGUAAACUGCUUUUGUAUGGGGAUAAAGUUAGGGACGUGUCCCUAUUUGCAGGUACCAUACGAAUAAGGACCGGCUAAUUCCGUGCCAGCAGCCGCGGUAAUACGGAAGGUCCAGGCGUUAUCCGGAUUUAUUGGGUUUAAAGGGAGCGUAGGCUGGAGAUUAAGUGUGUUGUGAAAUGUAGACGCUCAACGUCUGAAUUGCAGCGCAUACUGGUUUCCUUGAGUACGCACAACGUUGGCGGAAUUCGUCGUGUAGCGGUGAAAUGCUUAGAUAUGACGAAGAACUCCGAUUGCGAAGGCAGCUGACGGGAGCGCAACUGACGCUUAAGCUCGAAGGUGCGGGUAUCAAACAG
Molecule: ribosomal RNA, 440 nt
Filed under: uncultured bacterium
Lineage: Bacteria
Description: bacterial SSU rRNA
Rfam family: Bacterial small subunit ribosomal RNA
Source: RNAcentral